GAUGAACGCUGGCGGCGUGCCUAACACAUGCAAGUCGAGCGAGAAACUGACAGAUGAAGCUUCGGUAGAUUCAGUCAGUGGACAGCGGCGGACGGGUGAGUAACGCGUGGGCAACCUGCCCUUCACUGGGAGAUAGCCGCGGGAAACUGCGAGUAAUAUCCCAUAAUGCAGAAGCUUUACAUGAAGCAUCUGCCAAAGAUUCAUCGGUGAAGGAUGGGCCCGCGUCUGAUUAGCUAGUUGGUAAGGUAGCGGCUUACCAAGGCGACGAUCAGUAGCCGGCCUGAGAGGGCGGACGGCCACAUUGGAACUGAGACACGGUCCAGACUCCUACGGGAGGCAGCAGUGGGGAAUAUUGCACAAUGGGCGAAAGCCUGAUGCAGCGACGCCGCGUGAGGGAUGAAGGCCUUCGGGUCGUAAACCUCUGUCCAAGAGGAAGAAUCAAUGACGGUACUCUUGGAGGAAGCCCCGGCUAACUACGUG
RNAcentral lists this ribosomal RNA (480 nucleotides) under uncultured organism. RNAcentral's name for it is "bacterial SSU rRNA". It matches the Rfam family "Bacterial small subunit ribosomal RNA", at positions 28 to 507 of the family's 1533-position model. The record is from RNAcentral.